Molecule: ribosomal RNA, 465 nt
Filed under: uncultured bacterium
Lineage: Bacteria
Description: partial 16S ribosomal RNA
Rfam family: Bacterial small subunit ribosomal RNA
Source: RNAcentral
GACGAACGCUGGCGGCGUGCUUAACACAUGCAAGUCGAACGGAAAGGCCCCUUUGGGGGUACUCGAGUGGCGAACGGGUGAGUAACACGUGAGUAACCUGCCCUUGACUUCGGGAUAACUUCAGGAAACUGGGGCUAAUACCGGAUAGGAAUCCUUGCUGCAUGGUGGGGGUUGGAAAGCUUCGGCGGUUUUGGCUGGACUCGCGGCUUAUCAGCUUGUUGGUGGGGUAGUGGCUUACCAAGGCUUUGACGGGUAGCCGGCCUGAGAGGGCGACCGGCCACACUGGGGCUGAGGUGCGGCCCAGACUCCUACGGGAGGCAGCAGUGGGGAAGAUUGACCGAGGGGCGGAGGCCUGAUGCAGCAAGGCCGCGGGCGGGAUGACGGCCUUCGGGUUGUAAACCGCUUUCAGCAGGGGCGAAGCUUGUGGUGACGGUACCUGCAGAAGAAGCACCGGCUAACUACGUG